GGGCCGUUAGCUCAAUUGGUAGAGCACCCGACUCUUAAUCGGAUGGUUGGGGGUUCGAUUCCCUCACGGCCCA
Molecule: transfer RNA, 73 nt
Filed under: Kyrpidia spormannii
Lineage: Bacteria; Bacillati; Bacillota; Bacilli; Caryophanales; Alicyclobacillaceae
Rfam family: tRNA
About the family: Transfer RNA (tRNA) molecules are approximately 80 nucleotides in length. Their secondary structure includes four short double-helical elements and three loops (D, anti-codon, and T loops). Further hydrogen bonds mediate the characteristic L-shaped molecular structure. tRNAs have two regions of fundamental functional importance: the anti-codon, which is responsible for specific mRNA codon recognition, and the 3' end, to which the tRNAs corresponding amino acid is attached (by aminoacyl-tRNA synthetases). tRNAs cope with the degeneracy of the genetic code in two manners: having more than one tRNA (with a specific anti-codon) for a particular amino acid; and 'wobble' base-pairing, i.e. permitting non-standard base-pairing at the 3rd anti-codon position.
Source: Rfam by way of RNAcentral